RNAcentral lists this ribosomal RNA (253 nucleotides) under uncultured bacterium. RNAcentral's name for it is "partial 16S ribosomal RNA". It matches the Rfam family "Bacterial small subunit ribosomal RNA", at positions 524 to 776 of the family's 1533-position model. The record is from RNAcentral.
UACGGGGGGGGUAAGCGUUGUUCGGAAUUACUGGGCGUAAAGGGCUCGUAGGCGGCCAACUAAGUCGGACGUGAAAUCCCUCAGCUUAACUGGGGAACUGCGUCCGAUACUGGAUGGCUUGGAUUUGGGAGAGGGAUGCGGAAUUCCAGGUGUAGCGGUGAAAUGCGCAGAUAUCAGGAGGAACACCGGUGGCGAAGGCGGAUCUCUGGGCCUUACCUGACGCUGAGGCGCGAAAGCUAGGGGAGCGAACAGG